GAAGGUGUGUCGUGAGGCAUGCUGGAGGUAUCAGAAGUGCGAAUGCUGACAUAAGUAACGAUAAAGCGGGUGAAAAGCCCGCUCGCCGGAAGACCAAGGGUUCCUGUCCAACGUUAAUCGGGGCAGGGUGAGUCGACCCCUAAGGCGAGGCCGAAAGGCGUAGUCGAUGGGAAACGGGUUAAUAUUCCCGUACUUGGUGUUACUGCGAAGGGGGGACGGAGAAGGCUAUGUUGGCCGGGCGACGGUUGUCCCGGUUUAAGCGUGUAGGUGUGUGUUCCAGGUAAAUCCGGUUCACUUUAACACUGAGGCGUGACGACGAGGCACUACGGUGCUGAAGCAACAAAUGCCCUGCUUCCAGGAAAAGCCUCUAAGCAUCAGGUAACACGAAAUCGUACCCCAAACCGACACAGGUGGUCAGGUAGAGAAUACCAAGGCGCUUGAGAGAACUCGGGUGAAGGAACUAGGCAAAAUGGUGCCGUAACUUCGGGAGAAGGCACGCUGACACGUAGGUGAAGUGAUUUACUCAUGGAGCUGAAGUCAGUCGAAGAUACCAGCUGGCUGCAACUGUUUAUUAAAAACACAGCACUGUGCAAACACGAAAGUGGACGUAUACGGUGUGACGCCUGCCCGGUGCCGGAAGGUUAAUUGAUGGGGUCAGCGCAAGCGAAGCUCCUGAUCGAAGCCCCGGUAAACGGCGGCCGUAACUAUAACGGUCCUAAGGUAGCGAAAUUCCUUGUCGGGUAAGUUCCGACCUGCACGAAUGGCGUAAUGAUGGCCAGGCUGUCUCCACCCGAGACUCAGUGAAAUUGAACUCGCUGUGAAGAUGCAGUGUACCCGCGGCAAGACGGAAAGACCCCGUGAACCUUUACUAUAGCUUGACACUGAACAUUGAGCCUUGAUGUGUAGGAUAGGUGGGAGGCUUUGAAGUGUGGACGCCAGUCUGCAUGGAGCCGACCUUGAAAUACCACCCUUUAAUGUUUGAUGUUCUAACGUGGACCCGUAAUCCGGGUUGCGGACAGUGUCUGGUGGGUAGUUUGACUGGGGCGGUCUCCUCCUAAAGAGUAACGGAGGAGCACGAAGGUUGGCUAAUCCUGGUCGGACAUCAGGAGGUUAGUGCAAUGGCAUAAGCCAGCUUGACUGCGAGCGUGACGGCGCGAGCAGGUGCGAAAGCAGGUCAUAGUGAUCCGGUGGUUCUGAAUGGAAGGGCCAUCGCUCAACGGAUAAAAGGUACUCCGGGGAUAACAGGCUGAUACCGCCCAAGAGUUCAUAUCGACGGCGGUGUUUGGCACCUCGAUGUCGGCUCAUCACAUCCUGGGGCUGAAGUAGGUCCCAAGGGUAUGGCUGUUCGCCAUUUAAAGUGGUACGCGAGCUGGGUUUAGAACGUCGUGAGACAGUUCGGUCCCUAUCUGCCGUGGGCGCUGGAGAACUGAGGGGGGCUGCUCCUAGUACGAGAGGACCGGAGUGGACGCAUCACUGGUGUUCGGGUUGUCAUGCCAAUGGCACUGCCCGGUAGCUAAAUGCGGAAGAGAUAAGUGCUGAAAGCAUCUAAGCACGAAACUUGCCCCGAGAUGAGUUCUCCCUGAGACUUAGAGUCUCCUGAAGGAACGUUGAAGACGACGACGUUGAUAGGCCGGGUGUGUAAGCGCAGCGAUGCGUUGAGCUAACCGGUACUAAUGAACCGUGAGGCUUAACCUUACAACGCCGAAG
Molecule: ribosomal RNA, 1707 nt
Filed under: Salmonella enterica subsp. enterica serovar 4,12:i:-
Lineage: Bacteria; Pseudomonadati; Pseudomonadota; Gammaproteobacteria; Enterobacterales; Enterobacteriaceae
Description: bacterial LSU rRNA
Rfam family: Bacterial large subunit ribosomal RNA
Source: RNAcentral